This 76-nucleotide transfer RNA is filed under the name Xanthomonas sp. Its description in RNAcentral is "tRNA-Gly". It matches the Rfam family "tRNA". Rfam says of the family: Transfer RNA (tRNA) molecules are approximately 80 nucleotides in length. Their secondary structure includes four short double-helical elements and three loops (D, anti-codon, and T loops). The record is from RNAcentral. RNAcentral also lists the same sequence under 57 other names. Lineage: Bacteria; Pseudomonadati; Pseudomonadota; Gammaproteobacteria; Lysobacterales; Lysobacteraceae.
GCGGGAAUAGCUCAGUUGGUAGAGCACGACCUUGCCAAGGUCGGGGUCGAGGGUUCGAGUCCCUUUUCCCGCUCCA